AUGAACGUUGGCGGCGUGGAUUAGGCAUGCAAGUCGAGCGAGAACCCGCAAGGGGGACAGCGGCGAACGGGGUAGGACAACGUAGGUAACGUACCCUCGGGGCGAGGACAGCCACGGGAAACUGUGGGUAAUACUCGAUAAUGUUCCCAAUCGUGAUGGAAGGGGAACCAAUGGGUGAGAUUCCACCUGAGGAGCGGCUUACGCAGUAUCAGCUUGUUGGUGAGGUAACGGCUCACCAAGGCUACGACGCUUAGGGGGUGUGAGAGCAUGGCCCCCACCACUGGCACUGAGACACUGGCCAGACACCUACGGGUGGCUGCAGUCGAGAAUCUUCGGCAAUGGGCGCAAGCCUGACCGAGCGACGCCGCGUGCGGGAUGAAGGCCUUCGGGUUGUAAACCGCUGUCAGAGGGGAUGAAGUGUACGGGAGUUAUCUCCUGUAUUUGACAGAGCCUCAGAGGAAGCACGGGCUAAGUUCGU
This 478-nucleotide ribosomal RNA is filed under the name uncultured bacterium. RNAcentral's name for it is "bacterial SSU rRNA". It matches the Rfam family "Bacterial small subunit ribosomal RNA", at positions 29 to 506 of the family's 1533-position model. The record is from RNAcentral.